Molecule: small nuclear RNA, 104 nt
Organism: Camelus dromedarius (Arabian camel)
Lineage: Eukaryota; Metazoa; Chordata; Mammalia; Artiodactyla; Camelidae
Source: Ensembl
GUGCUCGCUUUGGCAACACAUAUACUAAAAUUGGAACGAUACAGAGAUUAGCGUGGCCCCUGCGCGAGGAUGACACGCAAAUGUGUGAAGCGCCCCAUGUUUUC